Molecule: RNase P RNA, 454 nt
Filed under: bacterium
Lineage: Bacteria
Description: RNase P RNA component class A
Rfam family: Bacterial RNase P class A
About the family: Ribonuclease P (RNase P) is a ubiquitous endoribonuclease, found in archaea, bacteria and eukarya as well as chloroplasts and mitochondria. Its best characterised activity is the generation of mature 5'-ends of tRNAs by cleaving the 5'-leader elements of precursor-tRNAs.
Source: RNAcentral
UUCGGUGGUUGGGUGAUCGCCCUGCUGCCCCUCGGGACAGUGGGGAGGAAAGUCCGAACACCCCAUCGGUCGUAAGGCCGAUGGAAGGAGGUAGUCGCUAACAGCGACGGGGAUGAGGGAGAUCGUAUGGCGCGCAAGCGCACGACAAUCUCCCAGAGCCCACGGAGAGUCCUCCUAUCUUGGAGGGGAUCCCCGCGCGAGGUCGAGCAUCCGGCGCGCGUGGGGACCGCAACAGAAAAGAUACCGCCUAUGACGAUGCCUCGUGUGCAUAGGUAAGGGUGAAAUCGUGCGGCAAGAGCGCACGCGGGACUGCCCCGUGAGGGGCGUCGUGGCAAACACCUACCCGGUGCAAGGGGAAUGACCCCCGCAUCGAGCUGCGCAGUAAUGCGCAGCCCAGAGAGAUGAUCACCACCCGCAAGGGAAACAGAAUUCGGCUUACAGGCCACCGAACACC